UGGGGAAUUUUGGACAAUGGGCGCAAGCCUGAUCCAGCCAUGCCGCGUGCGGGAAGAAGGCCUUCGGGUUGUAAACCGCUUUUGUCAGGAACGAAACGGUGUUGGUGAAUAACCAGCGCUAAUGACGGUACCUGAAGAAUAAGCACCGGCUAACUACGUGCCAGCAGCCGCGGUAAUACGUAGGGUGCAAGCGUUAAUCGGAAUUACUGGGCGUAAAGCGUGCGCAGGCGGUUAUGUAAGACAGGUGUGAAAUCCCCGGGCUCAACCUGGGAACUGCAUUUGUGACUGCAUAGCUAGAGUUUGUCAGAGGGGGGUGGAAUUCCACGUGUAGCAGUGAAAUGCGUAGAUAUGUGGAAGAACACCGAUGGCGAAGGCAGCCCCCUGGGAUAAGACUGACGCUCAUGCACGAAAGCGUGGGGAGCAAACA
RNAcentral lists this ribosomal RNA (427 nucleotides) under uncultured Burkholderiales bacterium. Its description in RNAcentral is "partial 16S ribosomal RNA". It matches the Rfam family "Bacterial small subunit ribosomal RNA", at positions 355 to 774 of the family's 1533-position model. The record is from RNAcentral. Lineage: Bacteria; Pseudomonadati; Pseudomonadota; Betaproteobacteria; Burkholderiales.